Molecule: transfer RNA, 52 nt
Filed under: Cobetia sp.
Lineage: Bacteria; Pseudomonadati; Pseudomonadota; Gammaproteobacteria; Oceanospirillales; Halomonadaceae
Description: tRNA-Asp
Rfam family: tRNA
About the family: Transfer RNA (tRNA) molecules are approximately 80 nucleotides in length.
Source: RNAcentral
GGACCGGUAGUUCAGUUGGUUAGAAUGCCGGCCUGUCACGCCGGAGGUCGCG